UCAGUAGCAUAGUGGUUAAUGCACAGACCCGGUUAAGCGUGAAACGCGGGUUCGAAUCCCACCUGA
This 66-nucleotide transfer RNA is filed under the name Nippostrongylus brasiliensis. It matches the Rfam family "tRNA". From Rfam's summary of the family: Transfer RNA (tRNA) molecules are approximately 80 nucleotides in length. Their secondary structure includes four short double-helical elements and three loops (D, anti-codon, and T loops). Lineage: Eukaryota; Metazoa; Nematoda; Chromadorea; Rhabditida; Heligmosomidae. The record is from Rfam by way of RNAcentral.